UGCACAUACAGGUAGAAUUAUAAGGCGUGCAUAUUUGUGGAACUGAACCCACAAAGUCAAAUCAUACAUGCAUAUGCCACACCCAAACAUUCGAAAUCUUAGCAAAACUGUGUUGCAAAACUGAACACACAAUACCUUAUUUGUUUGUUUGUUUGUUUGUUUAUUUAUUUGCCACAUUUCUCCUCAUAGGGGAUCAGUGAAAACAAUACAAUACUCAGUGUUACAACUGGUAGAUACCAUGGGAUGGAAUCACGGGAAAGCCUAUGUAACAAGAUGUAAACACAAGCUACCAUGUCUUGUAAAAUGAUAACUCCAAGUUUACUGUGGGUAACUGAAAGACCAGAACACAAUACAGAAAAGCAAACAUGAAUGCAUAUGGAUACACAGCAACCACUAACCACUCAAAUGCAUGUUCACAAGAACACUUGAGCGACAGCAUGAGUCACAUAGUUUGCUCAUUGUGUGCAUGCACAUACACCACACACUUCAGCCAGUGACAAUGCUUCACAUAAAACACAGUUCCCUCUUCCAGCGUGUGAUGUAGUAACCCAGUGGAGAAUCACACAUACACACAAACAUACAAUGCCUAACAACUCUGUGGCACUACACAGCCUCCCUCUUGCUUCCCCACACACACACACAUCGCAGACCCAUAUGCCUCUCUGCUCCUUUAACCAGCCUCUUUCGUUUGCUGCUGCUUCUUUUUUUUCUCCUUCGUCCAAUGGUUUCUCCCAAUGACAUAAUAACAGCAUGCUAGCAUCUCUCUCCUAUACAGCAAAAUACCCCUCGAUAUAAAACGCCAUUUCGCAGAAUCUUCUCCGGCUGGUGCCAUCAACAACCCACUGCCGGGUGGGGGGGACACAGAGAGGAGCCGUCUCUCACCUCCCUCAGUGUGUGACACCUUUGGAAAGCAGACCUUUUUUGUAGUAGUUGUUGUUGCAAGAAAUCAAAUAGUCAAACAGCUAGUUGGCUCCUUUUCGAGUUGAGUCAGAGAGAUCAAGCAAUCCCUAUCAGCCAAUGUGUGCCUCAAACUGAAGAGCAUCAGCCGAAAGCCAAGGUUUUCCAAAAGGAGAGGAACUUGAACAGAGGAAACGGAAUACGAGCAAGAAAGGGAAAAGAAACUAGGCAUUUCGGAAAACUUUCUGAAGUUGUGCAGAGGAAGGGGAAACAAAGACUUUCAAGAGCUCUACACUUUCCUCAGCAUCUGUAGGAAUACAGAAAAUAUAGGAGCUCCACAGAUUCCUUGGCAUCUAUACUGAAGAUUCAAAGAAGCAAUUUGGACCCACUGGAUUUUUCCACAAAUGUCCCGAUAGCUAUAUAUACUUAACCCAGUAGCUCUCCAAAAAGUUUUUUGCGGACUUCCAGAAAAUCUGCAGUAUCUCCAUAUUUCGAAGCAGCCUUCCAGAAUCCUACUACUAGGCAUCUAGAUGCUACAGUCAUAGCCUUCCAAAGGAUUUUCCACUAGCUCUUCAAGAUUUUCAUAUCAGUGGUCUAUAAGCUCUCAUUAGCUGUUCCUGACCUUCCACGGUCCGCUAGCUACCCAAACCCUGCAUCUUCCACAAAGCUCAUUUGGAGAGUUCUAGAUUAAAAAAACAACACAACAUAACCAUCAUAACGCCUUUCAAAAUUUUCCAGCUGUUCUUGAAAAAUUAACCAGGCAGUUCCUGGAGCUUCUCUGAAAACACCUUGAAGUUGAUCCAGACUUCUCCCUCCUAAGUAUCAGAAAAGGCUUCUGAGAGUACCUAACAUUCUAGGACUAACCCAGAAGAACCUCUAGAAACAUCUUUCACUGCAUUCCCAAGAUCUCUGGAACAACUGUUAGCAUCCUAACCUGUCCUGUAUCAAGGUGUUUCCUACAAUUCAAACUAAACACAAGAAGGUACUCCUUUGCUGCUAUUUCUCUAAAGCUUGUGUAUUCCAGAUCCUGCCUAUUAGAAGGGGGAGCUGGCCACAAAAGUAAAGGCAUCCUUUGUCACCACUGCUGCUACUACUUGCAUCUAUCACUGUUGGUCUCCUUUUUUACUGCCAAGCUGGAGUCACUCA
Pogona vitticeps (central bearded dragon) is the source of this 2043-nucleotide long non-coding RNA. NCBI's taxonomy places the organism in Eukaryota, Metazoa, Chordata, Lepidosauria, Squamata, Agamidae. The record is from Ensembl.